UUGUUCAUUCACGGCCGAACACCUCUUCCCACUUCAACAUUUCAUUUUCAAAACCAAAACAUGAAGAUUCAAGGGCUAAUCAAGGUGAUUCCAAGCUUGUAAGAAGGUUUGGGAGUGAUUUCAAGCAAGAACAAGACCCAUAUCACCAUCUUCUAUCAAAAACCCAUCUAAUAAGGUACUUGAGUUCGGCUUCGGGAAAAUCAUGGCGUAUCUUGCGUUUGAUGAUGCAUGUUAUCCGCGAGGAUCAAAACAACUUAACUUAUGUGGUUGUGUCGUAACCUUUAAAAUGUAA
Molecule: long non-coding RNA, 292 nt
Filed under: Helianthus annuus (common sunflower)
Lineage: Eukaryota; Viridiplantae; Streptophyta; Magnoliopsida; Asterales; Asteraceae
Description: sRNA HanXRQr2_Chr15g0718481
Source: RNAcentral